GACUGCUUGGAUAAAUCCCACCAGGGCCUCAUCACGUCACGAUACUUCUUUGAAUUACAGCAGAAAUUAGACAAAUUACUCCAGGAGGCUCAAGAGCGAUCAGAGAGUGGAGAACUGGCAUUUAUCAAGCAACUAGUUCGAAAGAUCCUAAUAGUUAUUGCUCGUCCUGCUCGCUUGUUGGAGUGUCUGGAAUUUGAUCCUGAGGAGUUUUACUAUCUUCUGGAAGCAGCUGAAGGCCAUGCUAAAGAGGGACAAGGUAUUAAAACAGACAUUCCUCGAUAUAUUAUUAGCCAGCUGGGCUUAAAUAAAG
Non-coding RNA from Tinamus guttatus (white-throated tinamou), 310 nucleotides. The record is from RefSeq and is a predicted model, not a curated record. NCBI's taxonomy places the organism in Eukaryota, Metazoa, Chordata, Aves, Tinamiformes, Tinamidae.